RNAcentral lists this ribosomal RNA (115 nucleotides) under Pteropus alecto (black flying fox). The record is from RNAcentral. Lineage: Eukaryota; Metazoa; Chordata; Mammalia; Chiroptera; Pteropodidae.
GUCUAUGGCCAUGCUACUCUGAACGUGAUCUCAUCUGAUCUUGGAAGCUAAGCAGGGUCUGGCCUGGUUAGUACUUGAAUGGGAGAACACCGAGGAAUACCAGGUGCUGCAGGCG